This is a non-coding RNA of Meleagris gallopavo (turkey), 12830 nucleotides long. NCBI's taxonomy places the organism in Eukaryota, Metazoa, Chordata, Aves, Galliformes, Phasianidae. The record is from RefSeq and is a predicted model, not a curated record.
UUUGCAUUACAUGGAUUUUUAUACAGAAUUGUUUUUUCUUUAAUGCAACAAGAAUAAACAUCAACUGCAUGUACUUAGGAGCCAAAAAAAUGUAAGUAAAGGAAAAAGCUGCACCUGCCUAUAGACAGUGUUCAAUAAUUGCAUGUUGGCACCGUUAGCUUAGUGGUGAAUCUUUAUAAUUUAUUCUCUACAGGGCAAUAGAGAUAGAGCAGCAUGAAUAAGGAUGUUUUCUUGUGAUGGUCAUCAGAAAGACUGGAGGGGUCAUCUCCUUCUUUGAGGGCAUGAGAGCAUGUGAGGAUGUGAGGAUGUGAGGAUGACAAGGAGGUCAGGUGAGCCAGGUGGUGAAUUUAACUUCCAAUUAAUAAAAAUAUUUCACAGUGCUUUUUUUCCUUCAGAGCAGAGCAAGAUGCUUUGUCUUGUCCUUGUGUGUUCAAAAGAACUAUUUUAAAAAUAUAAGUGUUACUCAUUUCUCUGAAGUCCCAUCAAUUGUUUAUUGGUAAGCACUGUCUGGAAAGGAAGGAAGUGUAAGGAGAUAGCAGGAGUAAAUUGAUAUUUUAUUGCAAUGAAAUGCUUGUGUUAUUUUGUGCUAGCCAGUUUUACUUAUAACCUCCUCAAUUGCAGUGCUGUCUAUGGCAGUUGCUCCAGAAUGAAAGGCUACAUCAUCUCUGCUGCUAGUUUCUUGUGAUGGAGCAAAGAAAUAAAAAAACAGGUAGAUAUUUACUUUUAUUCUCUGACUGAAUGUUUUGAAAAUGAGAAGCUGGGCCCCCUUUCCCAGAGCUGUAGGCAAGGCAUGAUAACUUUCUGCUCUGUUUCCUUUUGCAGAAAUAAUGCCUGCCUCAGACAUAAUAUAUUAGGAGUUCUGAGGACAGGUGGCUUUAGACCUUGAGAAUUUUAUGGGUCUUCUGAUCUAAGCUGCUGAGGAAACUUUUGAAAAUGGACCUUCAGAUGAUUCACACACACAGUAAAUCUCUUCAGAAUCUUUCCAAUGUUUUUAAAACAGCAUAAAAGGAGUACAGGGAAAAGUGGUGGAUGUUGGUGAACGGGGCUAAUUCCUCUGCAAAUAUCUCAUCUUCCUUGCAGAAGUCCAUGGGAAGUAUUAGUAUUAGCGGAUGCUGAGCAUGUUUCCAUUACUACUAGCAUCAAUGCACAUUUGUUAGCCUUAAGAAAUCUCUUCAGAUAUAGAUGUUGACAAUCAUAGCUAUUAGAAAUACUAAAGUGCUAAAGUACCAAAAAAGUACUUAAGCAAGUACCUUAAUAUUUAGAUGGUGUUUGAGGGAAAAAAAAAAAAGAAAGAAAGAAAAGAAAAAGAUAUUUCCCAAAUGACCAUGAUUCUUUUGCCAUCAGUCAAUAAAAUUUUUACUGUUGACUCCUACAGAAGCAUGUUAAGCUCCUAUUAACUACUUCUGAAAUCCCACCCUUAAUCCUGGCCUUCUUAAAUGCCAGAUAGAUAAACAAUGGUCUCUGAAACUCACUUAACCUUCCUGCUUUUCCAAAUGGUAGGAAAAAAAUGGAAAUUUCUGCCACUUAGCCCAACUGAAAUCAAAAAGAGAGGUCCAUAUUUGUUUUUUGUAGCCCAUCUAGAAAACAGGACUGAAAAGUAGAUGAACAUGAAGUGAUUUCUGAGACAUUUGGCAAGUAGUAGUUUUUUCAGAAGUUUGCUUAGAAAAACGGUUCUGUAGAUGCUCAGUUUGAGUAAAAGCAUUUGUUGCCAGGAGUGGGGCAAAAGCGAUCACCAGCUGGUGAUAUUCAUCCUUUCCACUCAUAUUUUCUUUGCUGAAUGUUUGGUGGAAAUGGCAAUUAGUAUUUUGUUGCUUGCAUUUUUACAACUAAAGCACAGGAGAUUAAAGUGAAGUUAUGAAAAUAUGCAUUCUUGAAAAGUUAUGUUCCUGGAAAAGAGAGAGAGAUGAGCUGAGAGGGGAACCUGAUGCUCAAAACCAUGUGAAGAGUCUUCAGAUACUCAGACUUCAAAACUUCUUACUCAGGACCCUAAGCUCUGCAUUAAGUGACUGCCCCAAACUUUUAUGACAUGCAUAGGAAGAGGGCAGGAAUAAACAGAACAUAAAAUAAUCAGUAACCUAUCCCAAAUAUUAGAUCAGACCUUAUUUUUCUUGUUUUUCAUUUAGGGAAAAGAUCUAUAUGUCCUGAAUUCCUGUCAGCUUUAUUGAUUUUCUUCUUUUUAAACAGAAACUUGUAAUCUGAGAAACAUUUUUUAUGUACCCAAAAUGUCUUGAACUGGUGCUGAGGAACUAGGAAAAACUGCAGGUCUUGACACUUUGCUUUACAUCAUCAGUGUUUCAAAGAUUGAGUAAUUACUCAUCAUUUGGUUCCAUUCACAAGUAAUUUUUAGGUAAUACCAUACACGGUCGUAUAGGAUUUGUCCAGAAGUCGAUGAGUUCUUUCAUUGCCAAAAACUUUGGUCAGCAUGAAAUGGAAUUAAGUCAAGUACAGGAAGGAAAUUGUUAUUGAUACCAAAAGAAUUUGCGGCCUUAGAUAUUAUCAGACACAACCGAAAGUUUUUUUCCUUUCUAUUGGAAGGCAUGUGAUUAUAGAUAUGCCAAAAAAUGUUACUAGAUAUUUCAAGAAGAUAUUUGGUUUUUCAAAACUAAUUCUGCCAGCAGGACCCUUGCCAGACAUUAGCAAAGCAUCAAAUUGUUGGUUUUUUUCUUAGAUGAAAAGAAGUCAUAAAUGUAAAAAGGGUAAAAUUUAUAUUUUGGUCUGCUGAUGUCUGUUUCACUACUAAAUGUCUUUAUAUCCUCAAAAGACACUUUUGUAAAAGAAACAUAAACUCCAAAGAAUGUUGGUAAGCUCUUCUUUUUUAUUUAAGUAAGUGCUAAGAUUUAUGCAGGGUACACCUGAUUACGUUGCCAGAGUCUAGGAAUUUUAAGAUAAACUCAGGUUCCAAAAAAAUACCAAGCUAUUCCUCAAAUUAUUUUUUAAAUGCAACACUUAAUAGACAAACAGAUCUACACAUGUAAUACAUAUGCAAAGGUUUUUUCGAGUUAGUGGUAGAAAUUUAAGUGUGGCAAUAAAUGCAUGGGUUUAACCUCUCAAUAGUAGUCUUGCUUUCAGCUGGAAAUGAUGAGAUCAUGUAUAAAACAUUUGCUUAUCUAAAACAUAUUCAUAAACUUCAGUGAAGCCAUUUUUACAACUUUAUUGUCGUGCUUAUUCUAAGUUAAAAUGAUUUAUUAUGUACAAGAUUUUCAAAAUAACAGCAGAAUUCUUUUGCUAGUGUAACUGAACAAACUUUUGUAUAAGUCAAAGUGCAGAACAAAAGAAGAAAAAGUGUUGUGCAUUGAUAAUAGGUAUUUAGAAAAUAAUAGCAUAGGGGAAAAUUGAUAAAUGUUAAAUAUCUUGGCUAUUCUUAACUGUUAUGUCAGUGGAAGUGACCGUGGUUUUUUUUUUUCUCAGUACAGCUCACUGUUAUUGGUAUCUUAAACUAAUUUGAAGAAUGUUAAGUAAGUGAAAGCUAAUUUUAAUUAAUUACUAUCUAAUAAUUCAAUAUUUGAAAGGAACAGCUUUACAUGCAAGAAAUUCAGAGUUAAAUCUGUGAAGAACAUAGUGCUUCACCUAACUUGAAGGCAUCCUACCAGCUAGUAAGAAUUUUUUUGCUCAAAGUUUAGGUACUUCUGUUGCUUAAUGAAUGCAGAGGAAGAGCUGAGUCAGCUCAGAGUAAUUCAAUUUAAGUAAAUUAGUACAAUCAACAUUCAAACACAGGGUCAUAUACAUAUGGAGACAGAAUAUUAACCCAGAGACCAGUCAAAAAUCAUCUCUCUUCACACAUACCACAAAGAGUACUGUCUGAGUAUAUAGGACAAAUGAUAGUAAGUACUUCUGUCUUUACUGAACUUUUCUGCUAAGUUCAGAAAAAAAAUGUGGAAGAUACCAGUCUGAUGAGAAAAACAUUAGGAAGAUAAUAAAAGGAAAAGGAACAACAGCAAAAUCCUUUACUUUGUAUGCUUUCUUAGGGGAGCACAGAUGUGCAAACUGGCAGAGAGAUCAAAUUGUUUUGGCUAUUUCUGCAGUGAGUUGAGCUGUAAUGGCUUGGCAGAGUGAGGACUCACUGCUAAAGCAGACACAUAUCACAUAUGGAGAGGUACCAUUCACCUGCUAUUUCAUAGAGCAAAUAGUUGAAUGUUUGUGUGAAUGUGGGGCUGGAGAGGCUCCCUGUUUACGACCAGCUACGGAUGUCUGUGGAACGUUGCUCUGGAGGAAUUCACAAUGAGAUUUCCAGCAGGAAACACAAAUGCUAAGCAGAUGUAUUUUCUUCCAGACUAAACCUUUAGACUCAGAUUGGUAGACAAUCUUCACUUUAUCCACUUUAAGAUUUUUAAGACAAAAACACAAAACAAUGACUUUUCAGCCCUUUUAACAAAGACUGGAAGCCACUGAGAAGUUAUGUGGGUCUACAUAUCCCUGAGAGCACACAGAAUACUCAUUGAAUCUGCUCAAUCAUCUCAUUCUGCAUUUAACUUAAAAAAAUGCAAAACAAGGCAAAGAAAGAAACCCAGCCCCCAAAAGCAAGUAGCACUCCUGCUCAGAGGAUAUUCAAGGGAGUUAUUCCAACUUGAUCUUUCUCUCACAUAUCCUUUGUGGGAGGAAAUACUUAUGGAGGAAGCAAACUGGAAAAGAUCACAAAGAUCCUGACACAUAGAUUUCCUGGUGUUAUUCUCUAGAGGAAGAGGCAAAAGUUCUUUCCUCAAAUUCCUUUCCCCAUGUAAACAGUAGGAAGAAUAUUAUCUUCUGUUAACUUUUUAUUUUGCUUAUUUGCUGUAAUCUGCAAAACAUGCUAUAUAAAAAUGCCAUUUAUUAAUCAUGACUGUGUUGUGUUCUAAAAUAAAAAUGAUCACUUGGUAUCAUAUUUGUUAUACGUGCUGAAAUGUAUUGUUAGCUAAGUGGCCUUAUCUAUAGUUCAGAAAAUACUGUGCUUUGGAAGACUGUUUGGCAAACAGUGCAAAGAAGUCAUUUAGUUACUGGCUGCAUUAAAGAUGAAAUCAGUUUAAGAUGAAUUAAUACUUCUAGAAAAGCGAUAUGAAAAAAACAACCUAAGCUCUUGGCUUUGGAAGAAGAAAUUAGCCAGUACUGCAAGAGCCUUGGUGAGUAUGCAUUCGGAUGUCCUUCAGUGGAUCUAGAGGAGCAAUUUAAAAAACUAUUGUCUGCAACUCCCAAUUCCUACUUUCUAUCUGGCGGCUACAGUUGAGAUUUGGUAUGUACUCUCUAGCAAGUAUGUCAGUGACAAAAUAGCCAGAUCAGUUUAAAUUACUGUCUUGGAUUAUUUGGGAGCAGAGAACAAAUCACAUUAAAAUGGUGUGAGGCUUCAAGUCAGUUUCUGAUUCCCUGUCUCCUUCUUGUUGCUACAUGGACAUGAGAAUGUUUUGGAGAGGAUAUUGCAAACCAUCUGAAGGUAAAGCUCCAAAUGAUAUUGAAUUCUGUUCCAGAAAGUUCAGGUUCAUAACAUGAAUUUAGUGUAUUGAGGAUACACUCGAAGUCAUAGUUAAAUGAAGAUGCAUUUUUUUUUCCCCCACAAGCAUUUAUUUCAAGUAAUUUGUAAUACAGUGAUAAAUCUGUGCGAUUUUAUUUCUAACUCAACAGGACAUUGGACAUUGCUAAUCUGCUUAAUGUAUGUAACUUAGUAUUCUGUGAUAAAAGCAAUCUAUUAGUGAGCUGAGUGAUAAACAAGCAUGUCUAAAAGAAAUCUUAAGGACAGUCCAAGAUAGUUUGCAUUUAUUUUAAUAAUAUCCAAAUGGUGUUCUAACUAAAGAUGUUAAUAAUUAUGAUGAGGAUUAAGCUCUAGAAGGAGUUAAACUGACUGGCAGGCUUUAUUCUGUUAGUGUUCUGUUUGACAUAAUUCCAUAACCUCUUCCCUUCAAUAAAUGUCAACUUCUUUAUUUUAUUUUUUUAAAUUUCUUGAAUGUCCUAGCUGUGAAGAGAGACAGAGCAUGAAAAUUGUCAAGGAUAUAUCACGUUUUGCAUUCACAUGUUCAUGUUUUUUGUUAGAGUGACUGACAGGCCAGAAAAGAUGUGCGGGAAGACUUCCAAGCAACAAUAAAUACUGAAGUUCUUUCCAAUUCAAUGUUUUGAAAUGUCUUAGAAGUUUUAACCAAAAGGCCUUGCUGUGAUCAACUCUAGUAGGGAAAUAAGAGUAAUAUUUCCUCAAGAAAUAUUUUAUUUUUGAUGGUACUUUCUCCAAAAAAACACCAAUGGAGAAGUGGUGGGAUUCGAUGACAACAUAGACUUUAAAAAUGUAAUAAACUUAUCUAGUGGAAAAGGAGAUGACAGUUUUCAAAGAUAUGUCCACCACCAAGAACUGCUGCAGCCAGGUGAGAAAUUUCAGUGCUUUUACUUUGAAACUUGAUUCGCUUGUGAAGGGAUUUUGUGAUAUAAUAAUCUCUAACACAAGGCACCAAGCCUUUGAUGUGCUUUCCACUCAGAUGUCUCUUCAAAGGUAGAAUAACAUGCUAAAGCAAGAUUUUAAUAAAGUGUUUCAUUUGUAUCAGCUGCAGCAACUCCUCUACCCAUGGUCAUGAUUUCUGGUGUUCCUCUGGUACUGGAGAUAUUCUUGUGUUUAUGUGGAAUACUUCUGUAAACCACAGAAUUCAUAAAUGUUAUUAAAAAAUUGAAUCAUAAUGGCCUAUCAGCUACCAAGAAAGAGGAAAGACUCCUUAAUCUUUCCUGUGGCUGAAACUGAGUGAGUUUGUGAAAAAGUCACAGAAACACCAGGCAUGCUUUACAUUCAUACCCUGACUCACAGUGUCUGAUACAGGACAAACAGAAAAAAUAACAAAUAAAGAUGUUUAAUUUCUGUACCUCUUUAUACUGUCGCUGAUGCAGAACCUCUAGGGGGAAGUUUGGCCUUGGAAAAAUCUUUAUUUCAGAGUAUAAACUCAGAAGGAUGAGCUAUGCCCUAAAUACUUAAUCUACGUAUUUUGAAAGAAACUUAGAAAAUAAUAUGCCAUUUUGCACAAGCAUGAAAGGAGAUCUGUACAGAUAGAAAAUGAAUAGCAAAUGAGGCUCACUGUGAGGAGUGAAAUCAGAUUCAAGGCAAAGUUGUCCUUGAGUGUCUUCUCCAAUGAUGAAGACUGACAGAAAUAAGAUAAGCUAAUAAACUUAAACUUUGACUCAGCUUAAAUAGUAUUUCCAAAGUCUGUUUCAGAAAAUAUAAACACUUUAAAGAGUAGCCAAAAACCUCAUCUGCUCAGCCAUCACAGAUUUCUCAGCUGUGUUGAAGGCAUAGCAACACAAAUUACCCUUGAAAUUACUAUUUCAAGUUGUACAUUUGCCUGAGUAAUAUUUUUAUAUUUUUAGGAGAGUUCUACUAGUAGUACAAGAACUUUUUCCAGACAAGGACUUAGCUUGGGUUUAUGUCAGCAUAUAAUUUGUAAAAGUUUGUAAUAAACAUGCCUCAGUGAGAUUGGCAAAGAUUAUAGGAAGGAAAACAUCACUACUAACUUCAGGCUACUUGCUUCAAUUUAAACCUCAGGUUUUCUAUGUGAGCUUCAAAACUACAGAGAACUGAUGAAUCAUUAUGUAACUAAGACCAGAAUUUCAAAAGUAGUCUAGCCUUUUUCAAAAAUUCUGCUUUGAUUGUGGAUUUUGACUUUCACUAUUAUUGACCAGUGGCCUUAUGCCUAGGUUGGGAGAUAGAUACACUAAUAGUUUUUCAUUCAGAUUGAAAGAAAUAUGCAAGGCAUAUUUCAGUAUCUUAUGCCUGAGCUAACAUCCUUCUACAUACCUACUGAAGUAAAAAGUUUAAGGUGCAACUGACGUAAGUCUUACAAAUAAGCACUUAGAGAAUGUUUAUAUAAACAGGGUAAACAGAAGAGAGAAAUAUCAGUAUGAAUGCUAGAGGUCAGUCUUAAAUUACUACUCUUCUAAGGCCAGUUUUUAUACUGGGAUGUAGGGCCAUCAUUAUUUUUCCAAUGCUUUUCAAUUUGUGGUAAGAGAUAAUUUCCUCCCUGCAGUAACUAAAGCAACAAUCUGUUUAGCUGUAUUUGGAAACUAAUUUUGUUAGUAAAUGAUGAAGGGAAACAAGGCAAGGACCUAUUUACCAAGUUUUUCUGUAGAAGAAUUAAGUUUUUCCUAGGUCCCUCUUUUGUCCACACUAAGCAGCUUCUCUGCUCUGGAUGAAGCUUGCAUAUCCUUGGUACAACUUAAGAGCUUGAAAAUUAAAGCAUGCAUCAGUGUCUUUGAAAAUAGAUUUUAGUGACUACUGUGAUAAUGCUUUUUGUGUGUGUGUGUGUGUGUGUGUGUGUGUUCUAUUAUUUAAAACAUGUAGAUAUUUUGGUCAGAAUUGAGCAUGACAUUGAGAUAUUAAGCAAGCUCAAAACAGAAUAGCUGAUUACUUUGAAGAUCCGACACAUGAAGUUACUUAAAGGCAUGAUUCUUCAUGUUUUCCCAAAAUGGAGCUUAGUCUAUGCUUUAACUAUCUCAGAAGCUACUGUUCCAAGGUGAUGGUGAUGAAUAAUCUUGAACUGAAAAACAGCUGCUGGUAUAUAUCAAAUAAAUAUUUAAUUGUAACAAAUGAUGUCAUUCUGAUAACUAACUGGAAUUUUUGUCUUUACUGAUUUUCAUAAAAUAGCGUGUAAGUAAAAUAAAGCAUUGAAAAAAGAACAAAAAAAUCCAGUUUUAGAGGUGUAAGAGAUGGACAGAUCCAUUGCCAAAUGAGAAUAAAUGCUUACUAAAAACGCUUCCUAAUGCAAUUAAGUUGAAUGAACUAAAUGUGAGAAUUCAUAAACAUUUGGUUAAGCUGCACUCUAUCCUUUUUGACACAGAAGAAAUAACUGUUUCCCUAUUAUCUGGAAAACCAUUGGAAAACCAUUUAUUAAUGCCAAAGUCAAUAGCAUCUCAACCAGUCAAAAACUAUAACAUCAUUUGAAUGAUCAAUACGCAUAAGAAAAUGACUAUGGAAGCAAAUAGAACAAAACUUCUUUCAACUUGCUGAAAAAUUUAUUAGAAGUACUUCCUUUUUAGUAAGUGUAUCAUAAGAAUGAUAAAACCAGUGGUACGAAGAACAGCUAAAGGUGUGUGGAAAGAAAAGUGAAUAACUGAACUUCUCAUAAUCACAGUGCUUACCAAAGCUGGAAAUAAUAGCUCCUCCUCCAAGACAUAGUCUCAGAAGGCUCUAUUCUUUCUUUAAAGUAACAAAUUCAUUGAAAAAGCAUUUAAGAACAGCAUUGUCAGUGUGUCCAGUAAUGCAGUUUGUGAAUAACUGCAACAGUACAAACUAAAAGUCUGAAUGUAAAGAGGCUUUCAGACUGUUUUCUAGGCUAUUACUUUGAAGAAAAAUAUUACACACAUUGGUUCAUUUAAGAAUGACUUUUGGGACCAAUGGCCUUGAUCCAGGAUUGCAAGAAUGAUGACAUUAUUGCAUGACAUUUAAGCAAGAGAGAACUUCUUCACUGUUCUCAAAAGGGUGCUGGUUUCCCAAAGACAAGUCAACUCAUUGUACAAAUAUGAUGAGAGUUCUGAAUGUGGAAAAUGCUUAUAGUGUACAUUAAAUGUGGGUAGUGCAUAGAGUUGAAAUCAAAAGUAUAAAUUAUUAUUAUCAUAAGAAAUUUUAAAUGAAUGAGCUUACAUUCCUCAUUACUGUAUCAAUCUCAGCCACUGCACACUGAAAUCUUCUGAACAAAAAUCAUAAACGAUAAUCUUAGCCAUAUUUGAAGAUUUACCUUACUGGCUGCCUGUAUUUGCUGUUGUUUAGUUCUGCAGAGCCUGGGUUUCGUUUGGAAAAGCUAAGUAUUAUUUCAGUACCAACAAUAAUAAAGGCUUACAGGGAAAAUGCUGUUCUUUACAGAAUGUGUGACACAAGCAGUGGUGUCUAAAGCUUGUGAAGACGGAAGGAGUGGAAUGUGGGAUGAGAGGGAAACUGAAAACCUAGAGAUAUGUGUGUUCGUUUGCGCAUGUAUAUGUGUCUGCAUACGCCAGCUAAACUGCUGGAUUAUCCAAAUUAUUUAUUUGGAUGUUUCAGCAUCCUUCAUGAUAGGUACUGUUUUGAUUUCAGUCAUCUAAUCCUCAGUCUUCUCAUUCAAAUAGAGACAUUUAUUUAUUUUUUUAAGGGCAUUGCAUGUUCUCCAUUACAUGGAGGCCACGCCACAAGCAGAGCUAGCCAGCUUCUGCCUAAAAUGUGAAGGUCACAGUUUUUAUUGGCACUUGCUCUCUGAUUUGGUUUCCAUAGCUUAUUAGCUACAAAAAUUGCCUUGGCUAUAAUUAUUUUCAACCUAAGAACAAAAACAGAUAAAUCCAGGCAAAAUGAAGCUACUAACAAUCAUCUGUAAUGUUUUCUCCAGUGCUAACUGUAAGUUAGGCUUUCCAUUUUCCCAGAGAUAUUAUACAUAUCUGUUGAACCUGCUCAUAUCUUCUCCUUCACCCCACUCUAGACAUCACUGGAGAUAAAGCAGCCACUUUCCCGGGUUUAUUGAUUCCUGAGAUCACUCUCUUUCCUAUUCUGUAGUGGCUCUUUUGUUUGGUAUGUGUUGAGUUCCAAUGUGAAUGGGGUAGCUUUCAUAUGGUUUUGGAAGUAUGUAAUCAGCCAUGAAGUCUCAGUGAAACAGCCAGUUUUCUUUUUUUGGCUUGUAUUUCUGUAGAUGUUUACUGGCCUAAAUAUCUUCCUCCUUACAGCAUUCUUCUACCAAAGAAACAGAAAGCAACUUUCAUAUUCUCCAGUCAUCCUACUGCAGCCUACAGGUAUCAUAGAAAUAUUUCUACCAAGAGCACAAGUUCCACUCUUGCCCUCUCUGUUGUUCUUCAAAGAGAUCAUGCACAUUAGCAUAAGAAGCAUAAGAAGCAUAAGCACUCUUGUGCUUCUUAUGCUAAUGUGCAUGAUCUCUUUGAGGAACAACAGCAAGGAGACUGGAUAGUUUGAGGUGUAAUUGAUGGGAUGCUGAAGGUCUGGCUGUUUUGGUGGUUAUUUUUAUAGAUUAUAAAGGAACUGACCAGGCAGCAUCAUUCUUCUGCUACCUCAACUUGCAGCUGAAUCUAACAGCUUAACCUUGAUGGUCUCAGCCCUCCAGUUAGCCCAUUUGGUCAAAUAAGGCUAGCGGUAACUGAAAGCUGUUACCAGCUGAUGGCUAUGUUGACUGAUAGCUUGUGGAAAUCCCCUUAGUGGACUCAGAUAAAAUUUUACUGACAAAAUCUCACUAUCUCCAAGUGAAUUCCUCCAAAAUAAAUGCUAACUUAAGGCUCAGGGGCAACCACAGGUUUAAAGACAAGGAGGGUGAACUUGUCUCUUCCCUAGAAAUAUUGUCUGUAUGCCAGCAGUGAAGUGAAAAGAGGCACAUUUGUGUCAGCACCACCCAGGCUGUCAAUAAAGAACUCCUGCCCUCAGAACUAUCAAUCAAAUUCAUAUGAAUUUCCCACUCUUCCAAAACCAUUUUCCCACAGGGAAGAAGGGAUCACAAAAUUAAACAGCAUUCCUUCUUCUUACAUCUUUGUAAUCUGUAAGCACUGUGCCUGUCAUAGUGCUCCCAGGAGGUUUCAUUAACCAUAAUGCCUCAUCUCUGCAAACAGCUGCUUUCCUUUUGCACAAGAGUUCUUGGAGACAUGCUUCACUUAUCAGAACUAAGCCACUGAAAAGCUGGCAACUUUAAGAACAUAAGCAGAAUGCUCCAUCUGUCUUUUUUAUACAGAAAAACCCUUACAUUUAUGAGUGACAUCAAGAUGAAUCGUAAUACAACCAGAAAUAGAAGAAUUCCUGCUUGUACUACUGCAGCUUUGGGGUGAACUGGACAAACUACUGAAUAGUGACUACUGUCAACAGCUGGCUUUUGCCAAAACCUUCAUAGAUUCAGAGUGGGAAGUUUACAUCAUUAAAAAAAUCCACAAGUAGCGACAGAUGAAAUUCAACCCCAUCCACAGCACUGCUUGUCAGCACAGCAAUACUGGACACACAUCACAUCAACACAAAACAAUGACAUGCAUACGUGCCCAUAGACCUCACCACCCCUUCACCAUCCCCCAUAUUGAAGUCUGAGUUGUACAGACAGCAAAAUACAGCCAUACCUGGAGACAGGAACAAGGUGAAGAGCCCAUGGUAGCUGUGUUGGCUUCACUGCCAUUGUUACCAUUUGUUGAUCAUUAUUUGUCAAGAUUUAUGUCUGUUUAGAACAAAACAAGCAUUGAAAUUUUGAAGGGUUGCUUAAUGGAGAGAACAAGUUUCAACUUUAUUCCCCACUUUCAUGCAAUCAGAGGUUAUGUUUAUUUAGAAAGCUAACAUUUAUACAGAUUAUGCACUUUCAGUGCUUCCAUGCCAAAAAAUACAUGACUAAAAUGGGUCUUUCCAUCACUCUUUCAGAUUUGACCUAUGAUUGUUUUUACAGGAACUGGAUCUUUUAAGCAAUAGCCUCUGGUAGAGUAAGAGGAAAGCACAGCACCUUGUGCAAUAAUUUGCAAAAAGUGGCUUAGGCUAAAGGUUUUAAGCAAAAUGCAUUUGAAUCACUCAGCUUUCCAGACUACCCCAAACACUAUUUGAUUAGGAUAAUUGCCAGGGCGAGAAGGAAGGGUCACCAAGCAAAGCUGGGUGGUAGUGGAGGUCAUCAGUUAAGGAAGUAUAACUUUUAAGCAUUGUGAAACUUUUUAUUAAUUAAGUCUCCCAAAAAACUUUUCAAAGUCUUAAGAACAGUGAGGUGAGAAUUAUUAGAGAUUGAGAAUUGAGCUCCCAAAUCAGUGAAUAAUUAUUCAAGCUGUAAAUAUGCUUUGUUGUAUGCGCUGCUGAUUAUUCUGCUCUUGACAACAUUUAAAAUGUUGCUAUUUUGUAAGUAAGAAAUGUUUGUGUCAUGUUUGUAUGGAAGUGCUUAUUUAAAACUCAUUUUAACAAUCCACUCACAGAAAAAAAAAAA